AAGUGAUGUCCUAAAAGAGCACAAUUUUCAGAAAUUGUGUGUUUAAGUGUGUUUAACUUUCGACUCACUUUUCAUUUGGAAAACUAGUGGCCAACUUCGGUACUUAACACACUUUUAACACACUUUCAGUGACGUCAUUGUGCAGGACCUCAAAUGUCAUCUUUUUCGGACUGACUCACACAUUUUCCCCGCCCUCGUCCUGAUAAGUCACAUCAAUUAGCAGUCACACAAAAUCCAACAUGUGAAGCAGCCAGACAAUCCUACUCUCAAACACGACCACGCGUGGAUGACCAUCGGGUAAGCAAUUCCUUUUCAUUUAUCUUACCGUAACAUAGAAGUUGUUCAAUAUAACCGUGUUUAACAGUGCCCACCAAAGGUAAUAUCAUUCAAUAAGACAGCUAGCUAGCUAGCUAGCUCGAUCGUUAGCAUGCUAAUAAGCUUCCAGUAAAAGUAAUGUGGACAUGUCCUGCAGGCAAGGUUCUGGAAAACUUUUCUAAAUCUUUAACAACACAGUCUGUGGAACUUGGUUUUGGUACCAUAUGUUUAUUUCAGUGCAGUAUUUGUUUUAUUCGAUUGCAGUUAAUUUAAAUUAGUUAGUACAGGUAGCCUAAUGAAAGUGGGCCAGGCACUUCUAGCAUUUACGCUAAGCCCGGUGUAUUUACACUGUUUAUUCUUGUGCUGAUUCAAUUGUACACCGUUUCAAUGAAAAAAACAAACAAACGUUUGCAAUGAAAUUAUAGCAGAAUUCAGCUUUGUUGGUACAUUUGGUCAAGACAAUAUUGUGUUACUCUAUUUUAAUUUUACAUUGUUAUCUGCCUGACAAAUGGUUUGCCCGAAUCUAUUAGUCUGACCAGCAAAUGUUUGAUGAAAUGAAUUUUUGUAUUUUUGAGGAAGAAAAUAAUAUUCCUUUGGCUCAGUACUUUUUGAGCCAAAAUAAGUGCUGCCAUAAUAUUGUGCUUGCUUGUCUGGCUGACUUCUUCUCACUUUCCAUUGUAGAUGUUUACUGGUGGUGAUAAUGUCACAAAGAAGAACCAGACUGAGCCCUGAAUCUGAGGCUGCUCCUUUUAUCUGGAGUCAACAAGCCUUGUUUGAAAGCCCAGUGGAUCAAUGAUUAUAAAGACACCAAGUGACGGGAUCUUGACUGAACCUUCUGGAGACCAAGAAGGGAGUGAGAGAUCCACUUCAUCCUUACAACAGACACCAAGUGACCUGACUGAACCCUCUGGAGAACAAGAAUGGAGUGAG
Molecule: long non-coding RNA, 1245 nt
Organism: Hippocampus zosterae (dwarf seahorse)
Lineage: Eukaryota; Metazoa; Chordata; Actinopteri; Syngnathiformes; Syngnathidae
Exons: 3
Source: RefSeq, a predicted model, not a curated record